RNAcentral lists this ribosomal RNA (372 nucleotides) under Triticum aestivum (bread wheat). Its description in RNAcentral is "partial small subunit ribosomal RNA". The record is from RNAcentral. Lineage: Eukaryota; Viridiplantae; Streptophyta; Magnoliopsida; Poales; Poaceae.
AUGGCAUCUUCUACUCUGAAACCAGGUGUGCCUAUCACUCUGCAAGAGCUUGAGCCCUCCUCGGAGAUGUUCAAGCAAGGGGCAUCCAUCCGAGUAACAGGAACCCUUCAGUCAUACGAUGUGGACUCCGCGGUUGCCGUCAUACGAGAUGGCAGCGCGACGCUUAGAAUUGACACCCAGCACCUGAGGGAAAUCGGUUUCCGCAGCGGCUCUAUGUUCCAGUUCAUCGGCGAGCUCCUGAUCCGGCCAAACAACGACGCGAUUCUGCAAGCACGUGUGGGCAGGAACGUUGAUGGCCUUGACCUGAACCUUUACCAGCAGUCUCUGAUCAUCCGGCGGCAGCAUAAAGCCAGACUGCUGAGGAGGGAUUGA